RNAcentral lists this ribosomal RNA (386 nucleotides) under uncultured bacterium. Its description in RNAcentral is "bacterial SSU rRNA". It matches the Rfam family "Bacterial small subunit ribosomal RNA", at positions 27 to 414 of the family's 1533-position model. The record is from RNAcentral.
GAUUGAACGCUGGCGGCAUGCCUUACACAUGCAAGUCGAACGGCAGCACGGGGGCAACCCUGGUGGCGAGUGGCGAACGGGUGAGUAAUGCAUCGGAACGUGCCCAGUAGUGGGGGAUAACUAGUCGAAGAUUAGCUAAUACCGCAUACGACCUAUGGGUGAAAGCGGGGGAUUCGCAAGAACCUCGCGCUAUCGGAGCGGCCGAUGUCUGAUUAGCUAGUUGGCGGGGUAAAGGCCCACCAAGGCUUCGAUCAGUAGCUGGUCUGAGAGGACGACCAGCCACACUGGGACUGAGACACGGCCCAGACUCCUACGGGAGGCAGCAGUGGGGAAUUUUGGACAAUGGGCGCAAGCCUGAUCCAGCCAUGCCGCGUGCGGGAAGAAGG